CAUAAGGUCUUUCUUAAGACCACUGAAAAAAUCAUGGGGCACAUAU
This is a non-coding RNA of Camelus ferus (Wild Bactrian camel), 46 nucleotides long. The record is from Rfam. NCBI's taxonomy places the organism in Eukaryota, Metazoa, Chordata, Mammalia, Artiodactyla, Camelidae.